CAGGAAAAAACUCCCAAGAACUUGGUGAUUGUUUUGAAACAGCAAAAUCAAAGGUAUUCUUAAGGAAAGAUAAUGUUCAGGAAGUGCUGAAGAGCAAAAUUCUCUCAUUGUUCAGAUGAAAGGCUAUCAGUAGUCCGCUACACAAAUCUAUUCAAAAGGAUAUCUUAUCAAGUUCAAUGGGAUUUACCAUCUAUGAGACAAGAGGAUCAGGUCUCCUAAUCUGAUUUCUAAUCAGUGAGGAAGAGCUGGUUGAGGAGGUGAAUGUACCAUAUUGGGAUGCAAUAUAAAUUGGAUCAUUGCUGUAAAUGUACACUUUGGAUUAUGAUGUA
Molecule: long non-coding RNA, 329 nt
Organism: Notechis scutatus (mainland tiger snake)
Lineage: Eukaryota; Metazoa; Chordata; Lepidosauria; Squamata; Elapidae
Source: RefSeq, a predicted model, not a curated record